This 85-nucleotide transfer RNA is filed under the name Felis catus (domestic cat). It matches the Rfam family "tRNA". Rfam says of the family: Transfer RNA (tRNA) molecules are approximately 80 nucleotides in length. Their secondary structure includes four short double-helical elements and three loops (D, anti-codon, and T loops). Further hydrogen bonds mediate the characteristic L-shaped molecular structure. tRNAs have two regions of fundamental functional importance: the anti-codon, which is responsible for specific mRNA codon recognition, and the 3' end, to which the tRNAs corresponding amino acid is attached (by aminoacyl-tRNA synthetases). tRNAs cope with the degeneracy of the genetic code in two manners: having more than one tRNA (with a specific anti-codon) for a particular amino acid; and 'wobble' base-pairing, i.e. permitting non-standard base-pairing at the 3rd anti-codon position. The record is from Rfam by way of RNAcentral. Lineage: Eukaryota; Metazoa; Chordata; Mammalia; Carnivora; Felidae.
GCCUGGGUGACUCAGUCGGUUGAGCGUCCGACUUCAGCUCAGGUCAUGAUUUCAUGGUACGUGGGUUCGAGCCCCACGUCAGGCU